GGCCUUGACAUGCAGAGAACUUUCCAGAGAUGGAUUGUGGCCUUCGGGAACGUCUGACACAGGUGCUGCAUGGCUGUCGUCAGCUCGUGUCGUGAGAUGUUGGGUUAAGUCCCGUAACGAGCGCAACCCUUGUCCUUAGUUACCAGCACGUUAUGGUGGGCACUCUAAGGAGACUGCCGGUGACAAACCGGAGGAAGGUGGGGGAUGACGUCAAGUCAUCAUGGCCCUUACGGCCUGGGCUACACACGUGCUACAAUGGUCGGUACAAAGGGUUGCCAAGCCGCGAGGUGGAGCUAAUCCCAUAAAACCGAUCGUAGUCCGGAUCGCAGUCUGCAACUCGACUGCGUGAAGUCGGAAUCGCUAGUAAUCGUGAAUCAGAAUGUCACGGUGAAUACGUUCCCGGGCCUU
This 408-nucleotide ribosomal RNA is filed under the name uncultured Pseudomonas sp. RNAcentral's name for it is "bacterial SSU rRNA". It matches the Rfam family "Bacterial small subunit ribosomal RNA", at positions 977 to 1382 of the family's 1533-position model. The record is from RNAcentral. Lineage: Bacteria; Pseudomonadati; Pseudomonadota; Gammaproteobacteria; Pseudomonadales; Pseudomonadaceae.